AGAGGUGAUUCUAGGGCAGUGCCAGGCUAGUACAGAGAGGUGAUUCUAGGGCAGUGCCAGGCUAGUACAGAGAGGUGAUUCUAGGGCAGUGCCAGGCUAGUACAGAGAGGUGAUUCUAGGGCAGUGCCAGGCUAGUACAGAGAGGUGAUUCUAGGGCAGUGCCAGGCUAGUACAGAGAGGUGAUUCUAGGGCAGUGCCAGGCUAGUACAGAGAGGUGAUUCUAGGGCAGUGCCAGGCUAGUACAGAGAGGUGAUUCUAGGGCAGUGCCAGGCUAGUACAGAGAGGUGAUUCUAGGGCAGUGCCAGGCUAGUACAGAGAGGUGAUUCUAGGGCAGUGCCAGGCUAGUACAGAGAGGUGAUUCUAGGGCAGUGCCAGGCUAGUACAGAGAGGUGAUUCUAGGGCAGUGCCAGGCUAGUACAGAGAGGUGAUUCUAGGGCAGUGCCAGGCUAGUACAGAGAGGUGAUUCUAGGGCAGUGCCAGGCUAGUACAGAGAGGUGAUUCUAGGGCAGUGCCAGGCUAGUACAGAGAGGUGAUUCUAGGGCAGUGCCAGGCUAGUACAGAGAGGUGAUUCUAGGGCAGUGCCAGGCUAGUACAGAGAGGUGAUUCUAGGGCAGUGCCAGGCUAGUACAGAGAGGUGAUUCCAGGGCAGUGCCAGGCUAGUACAGAGAGGUGCCCAAUAAGUGUCAGAGCCCUCUUGUGGAAUGCAUCUGAAAUCAUUCCGAUAGUUCCGUAUAGAGUUCUAUUGUUCUAUAGUUCUAUUGGUUAUGCAGAUCUAUGGUUUAAACAGUAGGAUGCCAACAGAACAGCACAAUAUAAGCCUGUUAUUGUUGUUGUAUUCUUUGGAAAUCCCUUGUAAUUGACAACAAAUGCAAAUUAA
This is a long non-coding RNA of Oncorhynchus keta (chum salmon), 877 nucleotides long. RefSeq lists it as uncharacterized. The transcript has 3 exons. The record is from RefSeq and is a predicted model, not a curated record. NCBI's taxonomy places the organism in Eukaryota, Metazoa, Chordata, Actinopteri, Salmoniformes, Salmonidae.